This 433-nucleotide ribosomal RNA is filed under the name uncultured bacterium. RNAcentral's name for it is "partial 16S ribosomal RNA". It matches the Rfam family "Bacterial small subunit ribosomal RNA", at positions 29 to 507 of the family's 1533-position model. The record is from RNAcentral.
AACGAACGCUGGCGGCAUGCCUAACACAUGCAAGUCGAACGAGACCUUCGGGUUUAGUGGCGCACGGGUGCGUAACGCGUGGGAACCUGCCCUUAGGUUCGGAAUAACUCCCCGAAAGGGGUGCUAAUACCGGAUAAUGUCUUCGGACCAAAGAUUUAUCGCCUUUGGAUGGGCCCGCGUUGGAUUAGCUAGUUGGUAGGGUAAAAGCCUACCAAGGCGACGAUCCAUAGCUGGUCUGAGAGGAUGAUCAGCCACACUGGGACUGAGACACGGCCCAGACUCCUACGAGAGGCAGCAGUUGUGAAUAUUGGAGAAUAGGCGAAAGCCUGAUCCAGCAAUGCCGCGUGAGUGAUGAAGGCCUUAGGGUUGUAUAGCUCUUUUACCCGGGAUGUUAAUGACAGUACCGGGUGAAUAAGCUCCGGCUAACUCCGUG